RNAcentral lists this ribosomal RNA (292 nucleotides) under uncultured bacterium. Its description in RNAcentral is "partial 16S ribosomal RNA". The record is from RNAcentral.
GGACUACCCGGGUUUCUAAUCCCGUUCGCUCCCCUGGCUUUCGCACAUGAGCGUCAGUCACUUGCCAGGACGCUGCCUUCGCCUUUGGUGUUCUUCCAGAUCUCUACGCAUUUCACCGCUCCACCUGGAAUUCCGCGUCCCUCUCAAGUCCUCAAGUCUUCCCGUUUUUCAAGCACUGCGGCAGUUGAGCCGCCACCUGUCACUCAAAACGUAGAAGACCGCCUGCGUGCGCUUUACGCCCAAUAAAUCCGGACAACGCUCGCCCCCUACGUAUUACCGCGGCUGCUGGCAC